UGAGGAAUAUUGGUCAAUGGGCGAGAGCCUGAACCAGCCAAGUAGCGUGCAGGAAGACGGCCCUAUGGGUUGUAAACUGCUUUUAUGUGGGGAUAAAGUGCGUGACGUGUCAUGCAUUGCAGGUACCACAUGAAUAAGGACCGGCUAAUUCCGUGCCAGCAGCCGCGGUAAUACGGAAGGUCCGGGCGUUAUCCGGAUUUAUUGGGUUUAAAGGGAGCGUAGGCUGUCUAUUAAGCGUGUUGUGAAAUGUAGGAGCUCAACUUUUAGAUUGCAGCGCGAACUGGCAGACUUGAGUGCGCACAACGUAGGCGGAAUUCAUGGUGUAGCGGUGAAAUGCUUAGAUAUCAUGACGAACUCCGAUUGCGAAGGCAGCUUACGGGAGCGCAACUGACGCUAAAGCUCGAAGGUGCGGGUAUCGAACAGG
Molecule: ribosomal RNA, 424 nt
Filed under: Verrucomicrobiota bacterium
Lineage: Bacteria; Pseudomonadati; Verrucomicrobiota
Description: Verrucomicrobia bacterium partial 16S ribosomal RNA
Rfam family: Bacterial small subunit ribosomal RNA
Source: RNAcentral